UUCAAAUACACAUUGAAACAAACAGCGUCAACCUUCCGAGUUGCGAUCAGCUAUAAAAGACAGUUUCAAGAUAACGUGUGCUCAGUAUAGUCGAAACUCGUAAAUAAAAUAAGUGAAAAUGCAGAAUCGGUUGAUCGUUUUGGCUGUCGUGUUUUUCGUGUUCAAGAUCUCAUCUUGCUUCACCGAAACGGUUAAAGAACCUGUGAUGGUUUGUCUUGGGUGCCCUGGAUGUCCCGGUUGCCCAGAACCAAUUAAUUCACUUUGUCAACCACCUUUGUGCUUAAACCAGAAGCGAAUAUGCCUACACGGAACGUACACGCCACUUGAUAGCAGAGGAUGUCCCCUCUGUCCUAGAUGUAAACCCAUACCUAAGAGACCUAUGCCUGUUUGUCUUGGAUGCCCUGGAUGUCCUGGAUGUCCCAGAGGUAUUGACGACAUUAUUGUCGAUCCUAGAGAACCUGUUGCGCAUUGUCUUGGGUGCCCUGGAUGUCCAGGAUGUCCUCCAGAUAACUUUGCAAUAGCUGCCGGUGGCUCUGAUGCCACACAGAGUUGAUCGUCC
Molecule: long non-coding RNA, 559 nt
Organism: Bradysia coprophila
Lineage: Eukaryota; Metazoa; Arthropoda; Insecta; Diptera; Sciaridae
Source: RefSeq, a predicted model, not a curated record